RNAcentral lists this transfer RNA (72 nucleotides) under Camelus bactrianus (Bactrian camel). It matches the Rfam family "tRNA". From Rfam's summary of the family: Transfer RNA (tRNA) molecules are approximately 80 nucleotides in length. Their secondary structure includes four short double-helical elements and three loops (D, anti-codon, and T loops). Further hydrogen bonds mediate the characteristic L-shaped molecular structure. tRNAs have two regions of fundamental functional importance: the anti-codon, which is responsible for specific mRNA codon recognition, and the 3' end, to which the tRNAs corresponding amino acid is attached (by aminoacyl-tRNA synthetases). tRNAs cope with the degeneracy of the genetic code in two manners: having more than one tRNA (with a specific anti-codon) for a particular amino acid; and 'wobble' base-pairing, i.e. permitting non-standard base-pairing at the 3rd anti-codon position. Lineage: Eukaryota; Metazoa; Chordata; Mammalia; Artiodactyla; Camelidae. The record is from Rfam by way of RNAcentral. RNAcentral also lists the same sequence under 2 other names.
GAGGGUAUAGCUCAGUGGUAGAGCACAUGCUUAGCACACACUAGGUCCUGGGUUCAAUCCCCAGUACCUCCA